CGCCCUGAAGAUCAUAAAAAAACAUUUUAUUAAAAUUAAGUAUGUCAAUAAAGGCUUUAAUUUUGUAAAUAUUGCCGGUAUAUUUAACGACCAUUCUGUUAAAGAACAAAUUCCUGGAUAUUUUGACAAUACUGAGCUACCUCUUAUUUGUUAUAUAUACAAGAAAUCUACCCGGAAAUUUGUGUUUAAUUAUAGUCAAUUGUGUAAAGAUGUUAAUAUCAGUGAAAAUACACCUACUUCAUGUAAUUGCAGUAAUUCCGAAUAUAUUUAUGGACCCAUUUCCCAUGUUAUAACAGGAGAUCUUAACAUCGUUCAAGACCGAGUAAAAUCAUUCCUCAGUAAAGGACCUAAAUAUCGUCCCCCGUCAAUUAUUAAUUGGAAUGAGUUUCGUAAUAUCAUCCACGACUCACUCCAUACUUACUGUAUGAAAUGGAUAAAACGGGAAAAAGCUGACAAAAAAUCUUUGGACUCUUUUUUUAAUUCAGUAACGAAGAUAGUUGAUAUACGUAUUCAACAUUUUAAAGAACAUUUUACUAUAAACAAUAACCACAAUAAAACCUAUUUCUCGUAUCAAACAUAAACUAAAAGAACUAGCCAAGGAAAUUUGUUUUUGUCCCGGCCGAUAAAGCUGCUAAUAAUAUUAUUAUUGUUUGACGUAAAUUUUACAUUGAGGUUCUGAAAAAGGAAAUCACCAAUUCACCAAACAUUCCAACUGACUCCAUUUUCAGAAAACGAAAUCUGUAACAAACAUAAACUUUUAGCCACCGCUUUACAAGCAGAGCCAAAUACAAUGAAAGUCCCAACUAUGUAUUGGCUUCCGAAGCUACACAAAACCCCUUACAAAUAUAGAUUUAUUUCGUCUUCAAGCCAUUGUUCAACUACUAAAUUGUCUAUUCUUCUUACCAGCACACUUGGUACAAUUAAAAACCUGAUAAUAAAUUGUUCAAAUAAGGCCUUCGAAAAUAGUGGAAUAAAUUACUUUUGGAGUGUCAAGAACUCGUUGGAAGUACUUGAUAAAUUGCAUGCUUAUAUUGGUGAUUUUUGAAUCUGUUCAAAGUUUUGAUUUUUCUACCCUGUAUACCACAUUGCCUCACAUUCUCAUUAAGAAAAAAUUCACACACCUAAUUAAAUGGGCAUUCAAAAAAUCAGAAUGUGAAUAUAUAUGUUCAAACUCUUUUAGGUCAUUUUUUAGUAGCAAUAAACAAAAAAACUAUGUUAAUUGGACAUGCUUUGAUACUAUAUAUGCCCUUGAAUUUUUACUAGAUAACAUUUUUGUUCGCUUUGGGGAUUCCGUAUAUCGUCAGAUUAUCGGAAUUCCAAUGGGGACUAACUGUGCACCACUUAUUGCGGACCUGUUUUUGUAUUGUUAUGAGUUACAAUUUAUGACAAAAAUAAGCAAAGACCCAUCGAAACAACAUCUGAUAAACAAAUUUAAUAAUACUUUUAGAUAUUUGGAUGAUAUUUUGGCUCUCAAAUAAUGACGACUUCAGUAUGUAUAUUAAUGAAAUUUAUCCUGUUGAACUUACUUUAAAUAAAGCUAAUACUAACAAUGACCACUGCCCUUUUCUCGAUCUUGAUAUCUAUAUCACUAACUGGAAAGCUGAAUACUAAAAUUUAUGAUAAAAGGGAUGAUUUUUCAUUUCCUAUCGUUAAUUAUCCGUUUUUAGAUGGUGACGUUCCCUUGUCACCAUCUUACGGUGUUUAUAUAUCUCAACUUGUACGAUUCGCUCGUGUAUGUAACAAUGUUUUAGAUUUUAACGAGAGAAAUUUAUGUAUUACUGAAAAAUUAUUACACCAGGGUUUUCGAUAUCACAAACUAGUCAAAACAUUUACUAAAUUUUAUCAUCGGUAUAAAAGACAUCAUUCGUAAAUAUAGCUCAACAUGCAGACUUCUAAUACGUUCAGGUAUUUCACAUCCAAUUUUUUAUGGAAAUAUUCUUUAUAAAGCACAAAGGUGUCAGUAUUCACCUCAGAAACUUACAAAACCUUUGAAUAGACUUAUUAAGAAGGGAUAUAAUUACGAUACUGUUGUCAAGUCAUUAAAGAUUGCAUAUUUUGGCGUUAAUAUUGAGUUCACUGAUAAGGUCUUUGCAUCGAACUAAACACAUUUAUUCUAAAAACAGUUGUUGGCAUGACACGGGUUAUGUUCUUCUCAUAUAUGUUAUGAUGGUAUGAUACUAAACCCCUAACGGGAAGGAUUGUGCCUGAUGUUCAUAUGAUGAAAUCAUAAUCUUUCAGUCAGUUUAAUUGAAGUCUGGAGCUGGCAUGUCAGUUAACUGCUAGUAGUCUGUUGUUAUUUAUGUAUUAUUGUCAUUUUGUUUAUUUUCUUUGGUUACAUCUUCUGACAUCAGACUCGGACUUCUCUUGAACUGAAUUUUAAUGUGCGUAUUGUUAUGCGUUUUACUUUUCUACAUUGGUUAGAGGUAUAGGGGGAGGGUUGAGAUCUCACAAACAUGUUUAACCCCGCCGCAUUUUUGCGCCUGUCCCAAGUCAGGAGCCUCUGGCCUUUGUUAGUCUUGUAUUAUUUUAAUUUUAGUUUCUUGUGUACAAUUUGGAAAUUAGUAUGGCGUUCAUUAUCACUGGACUAGUAUAUAUUUGUUCAGGGGCCAGCUGAAGGACGCCUCCGGGUGCGGGAAUUUCUCGCUACAUUGAAGACCUGUUGGUGACCCUCUGCUGUUGUUUUUUAUUUGGUCGGGUUGUUGUCUCUUUGACACAUUCCCCAUUUCCAUUCUCAAUUUUA
Molecule: long non-coding RNA, 2740 nt
Filed under: Mytilus galloprovincialis (Mediterranean mussel)
Lineage: Eukaryota; Metazoa; Mollusca; Bivalvia; Mytilida; Mytilidae
Source: RNAcentral